UUAAGCGACUAAGCGUACACGGUGGAUGCCCUGGCAGUCAGAGGCGAUGAAGGACGUGCUAAUCUGCGAUAAGCGUCGGUAAGGUGAUAUGAACCGUUAUAACCGGCGAUUUCCGAAUGGGGAAACCCAGUGUGUUUCGACACACUAUCAUUAACUGAAUCCAUAGGUUAAUGAGGCGAACCGGGGGAACUGAAACAUCUAAGUACCCCGAGGAAAAGAAAUCAACCGAGAUUCCCCCAGUAGCGGCGAGCGAACGGGGAGCAGCCCAGAGCCUGAAUCAGUGUGUGUGUUAGUGGAAGCGUCUGGAAAGGCGCGCGAUACAGGGUGACAGCCCCGUACACAAAAAUGCACAUGCUGUGAGCUCGAUGAGUAGGGCGGGACACGUGGUAUCCUGUCUGAAUAUGGGGGGACCAUCCUCCAAGGCUAAAUACUCCUGACUGACCGAUAGUGAACCAGUACCGUGAGGGAAAGGCGAAAAGAACCCCGGCGAGGGGAGUGAAAAAGAACCUGAAACCGUGUACGUACAAGCAGUGGGAGCACGCUUAGGCGUGUGACUGCGUACCUUUUGUAUAAUGGGUCAGCGACUUAUAUUCUGUAGCAAGGUUAACCGAAUAGGGGAGCCGAAGGGAAACCGAGUCUUAACUGGGCGUUAAGUUGCAGGGUAUAGACCCGAAACCCGGUGAUCUAGCCAUGGGCAGGUUGAAGGUUGGGUAACACUAACUGGAGGACCGAACCGACUAAUGUUGAAAAAUUAGCGGAUGACUUGUGGCUGGGGGUGAAAGGCCAAUCAAACCGGGAGAUAGCUGGUUCUCCCCGAAAGCUAUUUAGGUAGCGCCUCGUGAAUUCAUCUCCGGGGGUAGAGCACUGUUUCGGCAAGGGGGUCAUCCCGACUUACCAACCCGAUGCAAACUGCGAAUACCGGAGAAUGUUAUCACGGGAGACACACGGCGGGUGCUAACGUCCGUCGUGAAGAGGGAAACAACCCAGACCGCCAGCUAAGGUCCCAAAGUCAUGGUUAAGUGGGAAACGAUGUGGGAAGGCCCAGACAGCCAGGAUGUUGGCUUAGAAGCAGCCAUCAUUUAAAGAAAGCGUAAUAGCUCACUGGUCGAGUCGGCCUGCGCGGAAGAUGUAACGGGGCUAAACCAUGCACCGAAGCUGCGGCAGCGACACUAUGUGUUGUUGGGUAGGGGAGCGUUCUGUAAGCCUGUGAAGGUGUACUGUGAGGUAUGCUGGAGGUAUCAGAAGUGCGAAUGCUGACAUAAGUAACGAUAAAGCGGGUGAAAAGCCCGCUCGCCGGAAGACCAAGGGUUCCUGUCCAACGUUAAUCGGGGCAGGGUGAGUCGACCCCUAAGGCGAGGCCGAAAGGCGUAGUCGAUGGGAAACAGGUUAAUAUUCCUGUACUUGGUGUUACUGCGAAGGGGGGACGGAGAAGGCUAUGUUGGCCGGGCGACGGUUGUCCCGGUUUAAGCGUGUAGGCUGGUUUUCCAGGCAAAUCCGGAAAAUCAAGGCUGAGGCGUGAUGACGAGGCACUACGGUGCUGAAGCAACAAAUGCCCUGCUUCCAGGAAAAGCCUCUAAGCAUCAGGUAACAUCAAAUCGUACCCCAAACCGACACAGGUGGUCAGGUAGAGAAUACCAAGGCGCUUGAGAGAACUCGGGUGAAGGAACUAGGCAAAAUGGUGCCGUAACUUCGGGAGAAGGCACGCUGAUAUGUAGGUGAAGUCCCUCGCGGAUGGAGCUGAAAUCAGUCGAAGAUACCAGCUGGCUGCAACUGUUUAUUAAAAACACAGCACUGUGCAAACACGAAAGUGGACGUAUACGGUGUGACGCCUGCCCGGUGCCGGAAGGUUAAUUGAUGGGGUCAGCGCAAGCGAAGCUCUUGAUCGAAGCCCCGGUAAACGGCGGCCGUAACUAUAACGGUCCUAAGGUAGCGAAAUUCCUUGUCGGGUAAGUUCCGACCUGCACGAAUGGCGUAAUGAUGGCCAGGCUGUCUCCACCCGAGACUCAGUGAAAUUGAACUCGCUGUGAAGAUGCAGUGUACCCGCGGCAAGACGGAAAGACCCCGUGAACCUUUACUAUAGCUUGACACUGAACAUUGAGCCUUGAUGUGUAGGAUAGGUGGGAGGCUUUGAAGUGUGGACGCCAGUCUGCAUGGAGCCGACCUUGAAAUACCACCCUUUAAUGUUUGAUGUUCUAACGUUGACCCGUGAUCCGGGUUGCGGACAGUGUCUGGUGGGUAGUUUGACUGGGGCGGUCUCCUCCUAAAGAGUAACGGAGGAGCACGAAGGUUGGCUAAUCCUGGUCGGACAUCAGGAGGUUAGUGCAAUGGCAUAAGCCAGCUUGACUGCGAGCGUGACGGCGCGAGCAGGUGCGAAAGCAGGUCAUAGUGAUCCGGUGGUUCUGAAUGGAAGGGCCAUCGCUCAACGGAUAAAAGGUACUCCGGGGAUAACAGGCUGAUACCGCCCAAGAGUUCAUAUCGACGGCGGUGUUUGGCACCUCGAUGUCGGCUCAUCACAUCCUGGGGCUGAAGUAGGUCCCAAGGGUAUGGCUGUUCGCCAUUUAAAGUGGUACGCGAGCUGGGUUUAGAACGUCGUGAGACAGUUCGGUCCCUAUCUGCCGUGGGCGCUGGAGAACUGAGGGGGGCUGCUCCUAGUACGAGAGGACCGGAGUGGACGCAUCACUGGUGUUCGGGUUGUCAUGCCAAUGGCACUGCCCGGUAGCUAAAUGCGGAAGAGAUAAGUGCUGAAAGCAUCUAAGCACGAAACUUGCCCCGAGAUGAGUUCUCCCUGACCCUUUAAGGGUCCUGAAGGAACGUUGAAGACGACGACGUUGAUAGGCCGGGUGUGUAAGCGCAGCGAUGCGUUGAGCUAACCGGUACUAAUGAACCGUGAGGCUUAACCU
Molecule: ribosomal RNA, 2900 nt
Filed under: Escherichia coli
Lineage: Bacteria; Pseudomonadati; Pseudomonadota; Gammaproteobacteria; Enterobacterales; Enterobacteriaceae
Description: 23S ribosomal RNA
Rfam family: Bacterial large subunit ribosomal RNA
Source: RNAcentral